AAGUCAGAUGCUGCAGACCCGAAGCUAAGUGAUCUAUCCAUGGCCAAGUUGAAACGCGUGUAAUAGCGCGUGGAGGACUGAACUCGUACCCAUUGAAACGGGUUGGGAUGAGCUGUGGAUAGGGGUGAAAGGCCAAACAAACUUAGUGAUAGCUGGUUCUCUUCGAAAUAUAUUUAGGUAUAGCCUCAAGUGAUAAUAAAAGGGGGUAGAGCCCUGAUUGGGCUAGGGCUGCUCGCCGCGGUACCAAACCCUAUCAAACUUCGAAUACCUUUUAUCGUAUCUUGGGAGUCAGGCGGUGGGUGAUAAAAUCAAUCGUCAAAAGGGGAACAACCCAGACUACCAAAUAAGGUCCCUAAGUUCUAUUCUGAGUGGAAAAAGAUGUGUGGCUACUCAAACAACCAGGAGGUUGGCUUAGAAGCAGCCAUCCUUUAAAGAAAGCGUAACAGCUCACUGGUCUAGUGGUCAUGCGCUGAAAAUAUAACGGGGCUAAGAUAGACACCGAAUUUGUAGAUUGUGUUAAACACAGUGGUAGAAGAGCGUUCAUACCAGCGUUGAAGGUAUACCGGUAAGGAGUGCUGGAGCGGUAUGAAGUGAGCAUGCAGGAAUGAGUAACGAUAAGAUAUAUGAGAAUUGUAUCCGCCGUAAAUCUAAGGUUUCCUACGCGAUGGUCGUCAUCGUAGGGUUAGUCGGGUCCUAAGCCGAGUCCGAAAGGGGUAGGUGAUGGCAAAUUGGUUAAUAUUCCAAUACCGACUAUGGAGCGUGAUGGGGGGACGCAUAGGGUUAAGCGAGCUAGCUGAUGGAAGUGCUAGUCUAAGGGCGUAGAUUGGAGGGAAGGCAAAUCCACCUCUGUAUUUGAAACCCAAACAGGCUCUUUGAGUCCUUUCAGGACAAAGGGAGAAUCGCUGAUACCGUCGUGCCAAGAAAAGCCUCUAAGCAUAUCCAUAGUCGUCCGUACCGCAAACCGACACAGGUAGAUGAGAUGAGUAUUCUAAGGCGCGUGAAAGAACUCUGGUUAAGGAACUCUGCAAACUAGCACCGUAAGUUCGCGAUAAGGUGUGCCACAGCGAUGUGGUCUCAGCAAAGAGUCCCUCCCGACUGUUUACCAAAAACACAGCACUUUGCCAACUCGUAAGAGGAAGUAUAAGGUGUGACGCCUGCCCGGUGCUCGAAGGUUAAGAGGAUGCGUCAGUCGCAAGAUGAAGCGUUGAAUUGAAGCCCGAGUAAACGGCGGCCGUAACUAUAACGGUCCUAAGGUAGCGAAAUUCCUUGUCGGUUAAAUACCGACCUGCAUGAAUGGCGUAACGAGAUGGGAGCUGUCUCAACCAGAGAUUCAGUGAAAUUGUAGUGGAGGUGAAAAUUCCUCCUACCCGCGGCAAGACGGAAAGACCCCGUGGACCUUUACUACAACUUAGCACUGCUAAUGGGAAUAUCAUGCGCAGGAUAGGUGGGAGGCUUUGAAGUAAGGGCUUUGGCUCUUAUGGAGCCAUCCUUGAGAUACCACCCUUGAUGUUUCUGUUAGCUAACUGGCCUGUGUUAUCCACAGGCAGGACAAUGCUUGGUGGGUAGUUUGACUGGGGCGGUCGCCUCCUAAAAAGUAACGGAGGCUUGCAAAGGUUGGCUCAUUGCGGUUGGAAAUCGCAAGUUGAGUGUAAUGGCACAAGCCAGCCUGACUGUAAGACAUACAAGUCAAGCAGAGACGAAAGUCGGUCAUAGUGAUCCGGUGGUUCUGUGUGGAAGGGCCAUCGCUCAAAGGAUAAAAGGUACCCCGGGGAUAACAGGCUGAUCUCCCCCAAGAGCUCACAUCGACGGGGAGGUUUGGCACCUCGAUGUCGGCUCAUCGCAUCCUGGGGCUGGAGCAGGUCCCAAGGGUAUGGCUGUUCGCCAUUUAAAGCGGUACGCGAGCUGGGUUCAGAACGUCGUGAGACAGUUCGGUCCCUAUCUGCCGUGGGCGUAGGAAAGUUGAGGAGAGCUGUCCCUAGUACGAGAGGACCGGGAUGGACGUGUCACUGGUGCACCAGUUGUUCUGCCAAGAGCAUCGCUGGGUAGCUACACACGGAUGUGAUAACUGCUGAAAGCAUCUAAGCAGGAAGCCAACUCCAAGAUGAACUUUCCCUGAAGCUCGCACAAAGACUAUGUGCUUGAUAGGGUAGAUGUGUGAGCGCAGUAAUGCGUUUAGCUGACUACUACUAAUAGAGCGUUUGGCUUGUUUUU
Molecule: ribosomal RNA, 2211 nt
Filed under: Helicobacter pylori
Lineage: Bacteria; Pseudomonadati; Campylobacterota; Epsilonproteobacteria; Campylobacterales; Helicobacteraceae
Description: partial 23S ribosomal RNA
Rfam family: Bacterial large subunit ribosomal RNA
Source: RNAcentral